AAAGAAAUGUAACAAAAAAAAGUGAUCACUCCUGAGAUUUUCUCAUGCACCGUAGUAGGGUAAAUGCUGGCAUAUUUGGCUUUCUGGGAUAUCAUCAAGGAAAGCAAAGCUGCUCAUUCCAAAAGCACAAGGAGAAUGAUCAGCUGUGAUGUGGCUAGACUGUGUGAAGAAUGAAGAAGGGUAUGAAACUUUUCCUAGAUGAAAAAUAGGUCUUCAACAUGAAACAGGGACAAAUAUGGCCACAAGAUUUGAAAAUUGUAGAGAUUUAUUAAAUUAUGUGUGGCAUAUAAAAAGUGAUUAGUUUCUGUUUCUAGUAACAUAUUCUUCUAAUACUAUGGGCAUUAAAGGAAAAAAUUAGAUUCAAAACAAAUGAAAAGUGUUCCUUCACACAGUACAAAAUUAUAUUGUAGAAUUGCUCUUUUCUGUAUCUCAAAACCAGUUGAUCAAAUUGAUAUUCCAAG
RNAcentral lists this long non-coding RNA (461 nucleotides) under Anas platyrhynchos platyrhynchos (common mallard). RNAcentral's name for it is "lncRNA (ENSAPLG00000030321.1)". Lineage: Eukaryota; Metazoa; Chordata; Aves; Anseriformes; Anatidae. The record is from RNAcentral.